RNAcentral lists this ribosomal RNA (499 nucleotides) under uncultured bacterium. Its description in RNAcentral is "bacterial SSU rRNA". It matches the Rfam family "Bacterial small subunit ribosomal RNA", at positions 8 to 518 of the family's 1533-position model. The record is from RNAcentral.
AGGGUUCGAUUCUGGCUCAGGACGAACGCUGGCGGCGUGCCUAACACAUGCAAGUCGAGCGGAGAUAGGGCUUCGGUCCUAUUUCAGCGGCGGACGGGUGAGUAACGCGUGAACAAUCUGUCCUAUACAGGGGGAUAACACUUGGAAACAGGUGCUAAUACCGCAUAAGCCCACAGCCCGGCAUCGGGCAGGGGGAAAAGGGGAGACUCGGUAUAGGGUGAGUUCGCGUCCCAUUAGCUAGUUGGCGGGGUGAAGGCCCACCAAGGCGACGAUGGGUAGCCGACCUGAGAGGGUGAUCGGCCACACUGGAACUGAGAAACGGUCCAGACUCCUACGGGAGGCAGCAGUGGGGAAUAUUGGGCAAUGGGGGGAAAAACCCCUGACCCAGCAACGCCGCGUGAGGGAAGAAGGCUUUCGGGUCGUAAACCUCUGUCCCAUGGGAAGAGCAGAAGACGGUACCAUGGGAGGAAGCCCCGGCUAACUACGUGCCAGCCGCCGC